This is a non-coding RNA of Mus caroli (Ryukyu mouse), 1632 nucleotides long. The record is from RefSeq and is a predicted model, not a curated record. Lineage: Eukaryota; Metazoa; Chordata; Mammalia; Rodentia; Muridae.
GCACCAAGCCCCAUGCUUUGAAUCAUGCUCUCUGCCCAGACUUCCCUUGCGUGGCUGUCUGGUUUGCUGCUAAUUCCACUAGUAUAGCCCUGUUGUUCGGGACCCAGCAAGUCUGGGGACCAGCCUUUUGGAGGAGGCCCUGUUCAAGGGCUUCAUCGGACUCUGAAAAAGGCAAAGAACCCUGGGAAUCUACUGUGAUGCCUGAGCCAGAACCCCACCAAGGUCCAAGCUCAUCACUAAACUGUGGCACUUGUUCAUCUGGGCCAGCUCUUGGUGUCUCAGCCUAGGCCCUCUCCGGUGGAGCAAGCCACACUGCAGGACUUGAGUCAGCUCAUCAUCUGAAAUUGCCCGUCCUUUUAUGUUCACAACAUUCAUGUAUAUUUACACCUUGCAAUUUUACUUGACUUUCCAUCAGUUGGACCACUCAUGUGUGCCCUCGAGCAGGAGCAAAGGUCCUGUCUCCCUCCAAAACCACCCUUCCCAAAUCAGCCUGCCAUCUAUGAUGGUCAAAGUUUCGAAGUGGCCCUGAGCUGCUCAGGUUUUCUGUGGUACCCUCGUCAGCAUCUGAUCAGAAGCCUGGCAGAGGCAUAGCCAGAAGCACUGACUCCUCAUGUAAUGGUGCUUCUGGCUUAGAACCUGGUCCAUCACCUGUUGCGGGAUCCCCAACUUCUGCAAACCAUUGCUCAUUUCCUGGUGGUUCAGGAAGCCUAGCUCAAUACAAGGUAGUCCAGAAGUUGGUCCUGCCCUUUGGGAGGUUGAACUACAUGCCCCUGGAGCAGCAGUUUAUGCCCUGUCUUGAUAGGAUCCUGGCUCUGGAACCAGGGGUUCCCUUGACCACAGUCAACAUUUUGAUGUCACUGUGCCAGCUGCAGUGCUUGCCCUUCAGAGCCCUGCAGUUUGUCUUGUCCCCCAGUUUCAUCAACCACAUCAAUGGCACCACUCCUUCUAGGAUUGUGUGAUGCUACCUCUCUCUACUCUAAAGAGCUGUGGAGUUUGAACUCCCAGGAUACCAAGGCCCCUGCCUUCCCCAAAGGCAAUGAGUACUCAUCUUCCCACAACCUCUCAUCACUGACAGUGUAUGCUGCAAAUACAGUCACAAGGACACAGUAGCUGAGGGGCUGCGCCAGCUGUUAGGGAAAGAAAAAUACUAACAGGAUCAGACUGCACCUCCAGGUUACAGCACAGACUUUCUACCCUGUUUGGGUAGUUCUGGUGCUGUGCUACUUAUGAGGACACAAGACCUCUUCCUGCCCCACGCACCAUGGUCCUGCCAACAGGAGCAGGCUAGCUUUAAUCCCACAACCCAAGACCCUGCCCUAAGGGUGGUACUGAUGCUGCGAGAAAGCUGGCAUUUCUGCCAAGAUAGCAGGGUGCUGAUUGGCUCUCCGGCUCCGAGAGAGCUGCACCUGGGCCUAAUGAGCUACCAACUCCUGCUGCUGCCAUUUGAAGAACUAGCAUCUUUGAAGAGGCCUGCCCUGGCUUAAGAGCUACCUUAGGCAAAAGCUUCAGGCCUUAUGUCUCCGCUGGGGACCUGAGGUGGUUGAGGGAGUACAAACAGGGCUCAGUAUGGAUCCCCUAUGGCAAGGAGGGUGGACAAUUUGCACUUUGGCCCCCUGUUAUUUUUUUCAUUAA